GACGAACGCUGGCGGCGUGCUUAACACAUGCAAGUCGAACGGAAAGGCCCUGCUUUUGUGGGGUGCUCGAGUGGCGAACGGGUGAGUAACACGUGAGUAACCUGCCCUUGACUUUGGGAUAACUUCAGGAAACUGGGGCUAAUACCGGAUAGGAGCUCCUGCUGCAUGGUGGGGGUUGGAAAGUUUCGGCGGUUGGGGAUGGACUCGCGGCUUAUCAGCUUGUUGGUGGGGUAGUGGCUUACCAAGGCUUUGACGGGUAGCCGGCCUGAGAGGGUGACCGGCCACAUUGGGACUGAGGUACCGCCCAGACUCCUACGGGCGGCAGCAGUGGGGAAUAUUGCACAAUGGGCGGACGCCUGAUGCAGCAACGCCGCGUGCGGGAUGACGGCCUUCGGGUUGUAAACCGCUUUCGCCUGUGACGAAGCGUGAGUGACGGUAAUGGGUAAAGAAGCACCGGCUAACUACGUG
This 468-nucleotide ribosomal RNA is filed under the name uncultured bacterium. Its description in RNAcentral is "partial 16S ribosomal RNA". It matches the Rfam family "Bacterial small subunit ribosomal RNA", at positions 28 to 507 of the family's 1533-position model. The record is from RNAcentral.